Molecule: ribosomal RNA, 253 nt
Filed under: uncultured bacterium
Lineage: Bacteria
Description: partial 16S ribosomal RNA
Rfam family: Bacterial small subunit ribosomal RNA
Source: RNAcentral
UACAGAGACUGCAAGCGUUAUUCGGAUUCACUGGGCGUAAAGGGUGCGCAGGCGGCCAAGUGUGUGAGGCGUGAAAGCCCGAAGCUUAACUUCGGAAUUGCACCUCAAACUACAUGGCUAGAGCAUUGGAGAGGGUAGCGGAAUUCACGGUGUAGCAGUGAAAUGCGUAGAUAUCGUGAGGAACACCAGAGGCGAAGGCGGCUGCCUGGACAAUUGCUGACGCUCAGGCACGAAAGCGUGGGGAGCAAAAGGG